UACGUAGGGUGCAAGCGUUGUCCGGAAUUAUUGGGCGUAAAGCGCACGUAGGCGGGUCGUUAAGUCAGGGGUGAAAUCCCGGAGCUCAACUCCGGAACUGCCUUUGAUACUGGCGAUCUCGAGAUCGGAAGAGGUGAGUGGAAUUCCCAGUGUAGAGGUGAAAUUCGUAGAUAUUGGGAAGAACACCGGUGGCGAAGGCGGCUCACUGGUCCGAUACUGACGCUGAGGUGCGAAAGCGUGGGGAGCAAACAGG
Molecule: ribosomal RNA, 253 nt
Filed under: uncultured bacterium
Lineage: Bacteria
Description: partial 16S ribosomal RNA
Rfam family: Bacterial small subunit ribosomal RNA
Source: RNAcentral